GACGAACGCUGGCGGCGUGCUUAACACAUGCAAGUCGAACGGAAAGGCCCUGCUUUUGUGGGGUGCUCGAGUGGCGAACGGGUGAGUAACACGUGAGUAACCUGCCCUUGACUUUGGGAUAACUUCAGGAAACUGGGGCUAAUACCGGAUAGGAGCUCCUGCUGCAUGGUGGGGGUUGGAAAGUUUCGGCGGUUGGGGAUGGACUCGCGGCUUAUCAGCUUGUUGGUGGGGUAGUGGCUUACCAAGGCUUUGACGGGUAGCCGGCCUGAGAGGGUGACCGGCCACAUUGGGACUGAGAUACGGCCCAGACUCCUACGGGAGGCAGCAGUGGGGAAUAUUGCACAAUGGGCGGAAGCCUGAUGCAGCAACGCCGCGUGCGGGAUGACGGCCUUCGGGUUGUAAACCGCUUUCGCCUGUGAUGAAGCGUGAGUGACGGUAAUGGGUAAAGAAGCACCGGCUAACUACGU
RNAcentral lists this ribosomal RNA (467 nucleotides) under uncultured bacterium. RNAcentral describes it as "partial 16S ribosomal RNA". It matches the Rfam family "Bacterial small subunit ribosomal RNA", at positions 28 to 506 of the family's 1533-position model. The record is from RNAcentral.